UACGUAGGGUGCGAGCGUUAAUCGGAAUUACUGGGCGUAAAGAGUGCGUAGGCGGUUUCUCAAGUCCGCUGUGAAAGCCCCGAGCUCAACUUGGGAAUUGCAGUGGAUACUGGCGAGCUGGAGUGCGGUAGAGGAAGGUGGAAUUCCCGGUGUAGCGGUGAAAUGCGUAGAGAUCGGGAGGAACACCAGUGGCGAAGGCGGCCUUCUGGACCAGCACUGACACUCAAGCACGAAAGCGUGGGGAGCAAACAGG
This 253-nucleotide ribosomal RNA is filed under the name uncultured bacterium. RNAcentral's name for it is "partial 16S ribosomal RNA". It matches the Rfam family "Bacterial small subunit ribosomal RNA", at positions 524 to 776 of the family's 1533-position model. The record is from RNAcentral.